AGCUCGUUCGUAAUACAUUAGCAACUCAAUUUCGAUGUACCCGGAUUGACUCGGCGUGAUAGACUUUAUAUUCGCUGAGGACAUCUUGUAAUAAGGUGGCCGAGUUACGAAGUGAAAGCUUCUAAUUUGAAUCUAAAGUCUUAUGUUAGACCUCAGAUCAGGCAGGACUACCCGCCGAACUUAAGCAUAUCAAUAAGCGGAGGAAAAGAAACUAACAAGGAUUCCCCUAGUAGCGGCGAGCGAAGCGGGAAGAGCUCAAAUUUAAAAUCUGGCACCUUCGGUGUCCGAGUUGUAAUCUCGAGAAGUGUUUUCCGUGCUGGACCGCAUACAAGUCUGUUGGAAUACAGCGUCAUAGUGGUGAGAACCCCGUACAUGAUGCGGAUGCCCAGUACUUUGUGAUACACUUUCGAAGAGUCGAGUUGUUUGGGAAUGCAGCUCAAAUUGGGUGGUAAAUUCCAUCUAAAGCUAAAUAUUGGCGAGAGACCGAUAGCGAACAAGUACCGUGAGGGAAAGAUGAAAAGCACUUUGGAAAGAGAGUUAACAGUACGUGAAAUUGUUGGAAGGGAAACGCUUGAAGUCAGACUUGCGUAUUGGAGUUCAGCCGCAAGGUGUAUUCUCCAGUUUGCAGGCCAGCAUCAGUUUUUGGGGGUUCAAAAGGGUGAGAGGAAUGUGGCAGCUCCGGCUGUGUUAUAGCCUUUCACUGGAUGAGCCUUUGGGGACUGAGGUACGCAGCGCACUUUUUGCAAGACUCUCGAGUCUUUCUGCGCUUAGGAUGCUGGUGGAAUGGCUUUAAACGACCCGUCUUGAAACACGGACCAAGGAGUCUAACAUGCUUGCGAGUAUUUGGGUGUCAAACCCGGAUGCGUAAUGAAAGUGAAUGGAGGUGGGAACC
This 892-nucleotide ribosomal RNA is filed under the name Colacogloea cycloclastica. RNAcentral's name for it is "LSU rRNA". The stretch from base 148 to 892 matches the Rfam family "Eukaryotic large subunit ribosomal RNA", at positions 1 to 743 of the family's 3401-position model. The record is from RNAcentral. Lineage: Eukaryota; Fungi; Basidiomycota; Microbotryomycetes; Colacogloeaceae.